Molecule: long non-coding RNA, 245 nt
Filed under: Nicotiana benthamiana
Lineage: Eukaryota; Viridiplantae; Streptophyta; Magnoliopsida; Solanales; Solanaceae
Description: long non-coding RNA (NBEN_LNC010746)
Source: RNAcentral
GCUCGUAUUAGUUAGUUCAUGAUGCAAUGUUAGCAGUAGUUCUUUAGAAUAUCUUCAAUAUGCUCAAAUAUCAAUAAUAUUUUUAUUUUCCAGUAGGGUAAUCGACUAGCCUGAAAAACUGGUCGAUUAUCUGCUAUUUUCGUAUUAAAAUUGAAAAACAAUUGAUCAACAAUCGAUUGUCAUUGACUAACAAUCGAUUGUCGUUAAGACAGUGUAAUCUGGAAUUUUUCAAAAAUCAUCCACAA